RNAcentral lists this ribosomal RNA (372 nucleotides) under uncultured bacterium. Its description in RNAcentral is "bacterial SSU rRNA". It matches the Rfam family "Bacterial small subunit ribosomal RNA", at positions 28 to 414 of the family's 1533-position model. The record is from RNAcentral.
AACGAACGCUGGCGGCGCGCUUAACACAUGCAAGUCGAACGCAUGCUUGAUCUUCGGGUUGGGCAUGAGUGGCGGACGGGUGAGUAACGCGUGGGAACCUGCCCUGAGGUUCGGGACAACCGUGGGAAACUGCGGCUAAUACCGGAUAUCUCCUUUGGGAGAAAGACUUGUCGCCUUGGGAGGGGCCGCGUCGGAUUAGCUUGUUGGUGGGGUAACGGCCUACCAAGGCAUCGAUCCGUAGCUGGUCUGAGAGGAUGAUCAGCCACACUGGGACUGAGACACGGCCCAGACUCCUACGGGAGGCAGCAGUGGGGAAUCUUGGACAAUGGGGGCGAACCCUCGAUCCAGCGACGCCGCGUGGGUGGACGAAGG